UACGAAGGGGGCUAGCGUUGUUCGGAAUUACUGGGCGUAAAGGGCGCGUAGGCUGUGCUGUAAGUCAGGCGUGAAAUCCCCGGGCUCAACCUGGGAAUUGCGCAUGAUACUGCGGCGCUUGAAGACGGGAGAGGAUGGCGGAAUUCCCAGUGUAGAGGUGAAAUUCGUAGAUAUUGGGAAGAACACCGGUGGCGAAGGCGGCGUUCUGGACUGCAACUGACACUGAUGAACGAAAGCCAGGGGAGCAAACGGG
RNAcentral lists this ribosomal RNA (253 nucleotides) under uncultured bacterium. RNAcentral describes it as "partial 16S ribosomal RNA". It matches the Rfam family "Bacterial small subunit ribosomal RNA", at positions 524 to 776 of the family's 1533-position model. The record is from RNAcentral.